GCUGGGUGUGGUAGCGCACACCUGUACUCCCAGAUACUUGGAGGCUGAGGUGGGAGGAUUGCCAGAGCCCAGGAAUUCUAGGCUACAGUGAGCUCUGAUUGCGCCACUGUACUCCACCCUGGGUGACAGCAAGACCCCAUCUCUA
Pongo abelii (Sumatran orangutan) is the source of this 145-nucleotide unclassified non-coding RNA. It matches the Rfam family "Metazoan signal recognition particle RNA". From Rfam's summary of the family: The signal recognition particle (SRP) is a universally conserved ribonucleoprotein. The record is from Ensembl. Lineage: Eukaryota; Metazoa; Chordata; Mammalia; Primates; Hominidae.